UGGGGAAUAUUGGACAAUGGGCGCAAGCCUGAUCCAGCCAUGCCGCGUGAGUGAAGAAGGCCUUAGGGUUGUAAAACUCUUUCGCCGGGGAAGAUAAUGACGGUACCCGGAGAAGAAGCUCCGGCUAACUUCGUGCCAGCAGCCGCGGUAAUACGAAGGGAGCUAGCGUUGUUCGGAAUUACUGGGCGUAAAGCGCACGUAGGCGGACUUGUCAGUCAGGGGUGAAAUCCCAAGGCUCAACCUUGGAACUGCCUCCGAUACAGCAAGCCUAGAGAUCGGGAGAGGUGAGUGGAAUUCCUAGUGUAGAGGUGAAAUUCGUAGAUAUUAGGAAGAACACCAGUGGCGAAGGCGGCUCACUGGCCCGAUACUGACGCUGAGACGCGAAAGCGUGGGGAGCAAACAGGAUUAGAUACCCCUGUAGUCCCUGAGCGGGCUGGCAAGGCGCAU
Molecule: ribosomal RNA, 447 nt
Filed under: uncultured bacterium
Lineage: Bacteria
Description: bacterial SSU rRNA
Rfam family: Bacterial small subunit ribosomal RNA
Source: RNAcentral